AUUGAACGCUGGCGGCAGGCCUAACACAUGCAAGUCGAGCGGAUGAAGGGAGUUUGCUCCUGGAUUCAGCGGCGGACGGGUGAGUAAUGCCUAGGAAUCUGCCUGGUAGUGGGGGAUAACGUCCGGAAACGGGCGCUAAUACCGCAUACGUCCUGAGGGAGAAAGUGGGGGAUCUUCGGACCUCACGCUAUCAGAUGAGCCUAGGUCGGAUUAGCUAGUUGGUGGGGUAAAGGCCUACCAAGGCGACGAUCCGUAACUGGUCUGAGAGGAUGAUCGGUCACACGGGAAGUGAGACACGGUCCAGACUCCUACGGGAGGCAGCAGUGGGGAAUAUUGGACAGUGGGCGAAAGCCUGAUCCAGCCAUGCCGCGUGUGUGAAGACGGUCUUCGGAUUGUAAAGCACUUUAAGUUGGGAGGAAGGGCAGUAAGUUAAUACCUAGCUGUUUUGACGGUACCAACAGAAUAAGCACCGGCUAACUUCGUG
Molecule: ribosomal RNA, 484 nt
Filed under: uncultured bacterium
Lineage: Bacteria
Description: partial 16S ribosomal RNA
Rfam family: Bacterial small subunit ribosomal RNA
Source: RNAcentral